RNAcentral lists this ribosomal RNA (427 nucleotides) under uncultured bacterium. RNAcentral describes it as "bacterial SSU rRNA". It matches the Rfam family "Bacterial small subunit ribosomal RNA", at positions 355 to 774 of the family's 1533-position model. The record is from RNAcentral.
UAAGGAAUAUUGGUCAAUGGACGCAAGUCUGAACCAGCCAUGCCGCGUGCGGGAAGAAGGCCUUCGGGUUGUAAACCGCUUUUGUCAGGGAAGAAAUCCUUUGAGCUAAUACCUCGGGGGGAUGACGGUACCUGAAGAAUAAGCACCGGCUAACUACGUGCCAGCAGCCGCGGUAAUACGUAGGGUGCGAGCGUUAAUCGGAAUUACUGGGCGUAAAGCGUGCGCAGGCGGUUAUGUAAGACAGAUGUGAAAUCCCCGGGCUCAACCUGGGAACUGCAUUUGUGACUGCAUAGCUAGAGUACGGCAGAGGGGGAUGGAAUUCCGCGUGUAGCAGUGAAAUGCGUAGAUAUGCGGAGGAACACCGAUGGCGAAGGCAAUCCCCUGGGCCUGUGCUGACGCUCAUGCACGAAAGCGUGGGGAGCAAACA